UGGUGAAGUUUAACUGCAACAACA
This 24-nucleotide non-coding RNA is filed under the name Arabidopsis thaliana (thale cress). Lineage: Eukaryota; Viridiplantae; Streptophyta; Magnoliopsida; Brassicales; Brassicaceae. The record is from RNAcentral.